RNAcentral lists this ribosomal RNA (408 nucleotides) under uncultured bacterium. RNAcentral describes it as "partial 16S ribosomal RNA". It matches the Rfam family "Bacterial small subunit ribosomal RNA", at positions 28 to 526 of the family's 1533-position model. The record is from RNAcentral.
GACGAACGCUGGCGGCGUGCUUAACACAUGCAAGUCGAACGAAGUGGCGAACGGGUGAGUAACGCGUAAUCAACCUGCCCUUCAGAGGGGGACAACAGUUGGAAACGACUGCUAAUACCGCAUACGGAAGGAGGGGAUUGAGUCUGCUUAGCUAGUUGGAGGGGUAAAGGCCCAACAAGGCGAUGAUCAGUAGACGGUCUGAGAGGAUGAACGGGCACAUUGGGAAUGGGACACGGCCCCGACUCCUACGGGGGGCAGCAGUGGGGAAUCUUCCGAAAUGGACGAAAGUCUGACGGCGCAACGCCGCGUGAGUGAUGACGGCCUUCGGGUUGUAAAGCUCUGUUAAUCGGGACGCGGUACCGGAAUAGAAAGCCACGGCUAACUACGUGCCAGCAGCCGCGGUAAUAC